Onychomys torridus (southern grasshopper mouse) is the source of this 129-nucleotide non-coding RNA. RefSeq annotates it as small Cajal body-specific RNA 4. Lineage: Eukaryota; Metazoa; Chordata; Mammalia; Rodentia; Cricetidae. The record is from RefSeq and is a predicted model, not a curated record. The transcript has a single exon.
GCUGGAGGACCAAGAAGGCAGAGUCUGAUGAAGCAAGACUUUGCUGAUACACUCCUCCUAGACAAAGGGGUGGAGAGAGCAGCCCUCAUCGGAGAAAAACCAUAGGACUGACUGUCCUACCCAACAUUC